CCCUACGGGGCGCAGCAGGCGCGAAAACUUCACACUGUGCGAAAGCACGAUGAGGGAAUCCCAAGUGCUUGCACGUAAGUGUAAGCUGUUUCUUUGUUCAAAACGCAUUGAGAGUAAGAGCUGGGUAAGACGGGUGCCAGCCGCCGCGGUAAUACCUGCAGCUCAAGUGGUGGCCGCUAUUAUUGGGCCUAAAACGUCCGUAGCCGGUUUAAUAGAUGCCUGGGUAAAUCGUGUAGCUUAACUAUACGAAUUCCGGGUAGACUGUUAAGCUUGAGACCGGGAGAAGUUAGAGGUACUCCUGGGGUAGAGGUGAAAUUCUGUAAUCCUAGGGGGACCACCAGUGGCGAAGGCGUCUGACUAGAACGGGUCUGACGGUGAGGGACGAAGCCCUGGGGCGCAAACCGGAUUAGAUACCCGGGUAGUCCAGGGUGUAAACGCUGCUUGCUUGAUGUUGGUUGGGCUCCGAGCCCAAUCAGUGUCGGAGAGAAGUUGUUAAGCAAGCUGCCUGGGAAGUACGGCCGCAAGACUGAAACUUAAAGGAAUUGGCGGGGGAGCAC
This 557-nucleotide ribosomal RNA is filed under the name uncultured archaeon. RNAcentral describes it as "bacterial SSU rRNA". It matches the Rfam family "Archaeal small subunit ribosomal RNA", at positions 321 to 879 of the family's 1478-position model. The record is from RNAcentral.